RNAcentral lists this ribosomal RNA (353 nucleotides) under uncultured Chloroflexota bacterium. RNAcentral describes it as "bacterial SSU rRNA". It matches the Rfam family "Bacterial small subunit ribosomal RNA", at positions 1008 to 1382 of the family's 1533-position model. The record is from RNAcentral. Lineage: Bacteria; Bacillati; Chloroflexota.
CCAGUAUCCAGUCUGGAGCUAACACGGGUGCUGCAUGGCUGUCGUCAGCUCGUGCCGUGAGGUGUAUGGUUAAGUCCCACAACGAGCGCAACCCUCGUCGCUAGUUAAUUCCCUAGCGAGACCGCCUCGCAAAACGAGGAGGAAGGUGGGGAUGGCGUCAAGUCAGCAUGGCCUUUAUACCCUGGGCGACACACACGCUACAAUGGGUGGUACAGUAGGUAGCGAAGGAGCGAUCCGGAGCAAAUCUUUAAAACCAUCCUCAGUACGGAUUGCAGGCUGCAACUGCCUGCAUGAAGUUGGAGUUGCUAGUAAACGCAGGUCAGCACACUGCGUUGAAUACGUUCUCGGGCCUU